GUCUGUGGCCAUGCCACCUUGAACAAGCCCGAUGUCUGAUCUCGGAAGCUAAGCAGGGUCGGGCCUGGUUAGUACUUGGAUGGGAGAUCACCUAGGAAGACCAGGUGCUGUAAGCA
This 116-nucleotide ribosomal RNA is filed under the name Pteropus alecto (black flying fox). The record is from RNAcentral. Lineage: Eukaryota; Metazoa; Chordata; Mammalia; Chiroptera; Pteropodidae.